Corylus avellana is the source of this 812-nucleotide non-coding RNA. Lineage: Eukaryota; Viridiplantae; Streptophyta; Magnoliopsida; Fagales; Betulaceae. The record is from RefSeq and is a predicted model, not a curated record.
UUCAGCUCCUAUUCCUCCUCCUCUUCCUGUCAGCGCCGAGCCUACACAAACCCCCUUCAACACUUUGAACGCUACGCAAUUAGGUCCAAGGGCGACCACGAACCAACGCUAGGGCUCAAAUAGUGGAAUCUGAAAAUGGCCGAUUCUAGUUAGUCGACCAUUUUUUUCUCAAGGAAUAAUGUCUGUAGCGGAGCUCAAGGAGCGCCACGCGGUGGCCACGGAGACGGUGAGCGAGCUCAGGGAGCGACUCAAGCAGAAGCGGCUCUCGCUGCUGGACAUGGACGAGUGCUUAACUACUUGGAUGUUCUCCCAUUACUUCACCGUUCACCGUUUUUCAAAUCUCUAAUUUUCCAAACAUGAAAUCUUUGGACAAGAAGGGGCUUCAACAACUGACAAAUUGAUUGAAUUAGAAUACAGGAGAUGGAAGAGCUUGGUUAUGAAUACACAAAGCAGAGGCUUGCAUAUACACGUUGUAGGCUCAGAAAUACCAAUCAAUACCUUUUCUUCGGAUAGCUGCUAUGUGGGAAGAAGAAAAGGUGUAUUCAUUGGAUUGGACUUCUGAAAAGAAUCGAGAAAAAUGAGAGAAAAAUGAGAGUUACAUAUGGUAUUGAUGAGUCGUACAAGUUAUCAGUUCUUACAUCUGGGAAGCCUUCUUUGUAAUCAUUUUUUGGUUGCUUAGCUACAUAUGAAGUUUAAUUUCUCAAGGAACAUUGUUGUUGAUGUAUGCCUUCUUUGGCACUUACUUAAAAACUUGACAAUUAUGUAGUUUUCUCGGGCCAUUUUUGAGACUUCUUCACUUGUAAUUAACUCUG